This 1404-nucleotide long non-coding RNA is filed under the name Equus caballus (horse). RNAcentral's name for it is "lncRNA (ENSECAG00000058502.1)". Lineage: Eukaryota; Metazoa; Chordata; Mammalia; Perissodactyla; Equidae. The record is from RNAcentral.
GGACGCGUGCGGGCCACUGUCCCCAGUCUAUUCCGCGCGCCCAUCUCCGCACCCUCGCACCCUCCUCGGGACACUUGUCCCUCGACUCCCUACCCCAGGCCCGCCCGAAGCACUCGGGCCACCUUCUCGGGAGGUCCCCAGGAUAUUUUCCUGGGGCGACCUGCGCAGCGAGGAAAGGAGGGAUUUCAGAGAAGGGACACAAGGGGGGAUUCCCUGGGAGGGGGGUGCGAUGGCAGACCACAGAUAAAGGAGCGGGUGCCAAAGCGCGGGCCUCUGCUCCGUUGGGGGGCACUGGGAGGCCCCAUGGGCAGAGUUGGAAACUUUUCCUCCACGUGGUAGCACAACCCGUGGCCAAGUGACUCGGCACCCGAAUGACCUCUAGGCCCUCCUCGCCUUCAAGCGGGGGCCCCUGGGACGCGCGGGCGGCUUUGGAGCUGGCAGCGUGAGGUUGUGCUGCCGGGGACCGAACUUGAACCUCGGCAGCGGCGCGCGAGGGGGCGGGGCAGAAGCGGCCAGAACCGCCGCAACCCUGAGGACCCGUUAGACCCGCAAAAUUCAGUCCCAACCACGGCGAGCUUCCUUUAUUUGCGGGGAGCGAGGUCUUCCUGCUUUUCCUAUCACUGCCCCUGCUCCCGCCGCAAUGUACCUGAUGCUUAUAAAAAGUUGUAUUAAAGAGCCGACUGCAGCCCAGAAUCGAUCAACAAAAACGACCAGCCUCUCUGGGUAAAAUAGCUGUGCGUUUUUCGGAGCACUGGAAUUGAUCUACAUGGAUCAGAAAGACGCCAAUAGCCCUCUCUCACAAACCGGUUAGGUACCUCUGAUGAAUGGCACAUUGAUCAACCCAUAUUCUUUAGACUCUGCCAUAUGAAGCCAAUGAAAAAUACCUGAUGACCAAAUGAUGAUUAUGUGAAAAAGUAGUUUUGGCAAUUUAAUAAGCUUUAGAUUUUCACAAAACCAGCCAGUCUCAGGACAAAGCUUUCUACUUGAAGAUUACAUGACAUGAUCAGCAUAUAUAUUUCUAUGGAUCCUAAACUGGCUCUUACCCAGAACACUUCCAUGCCUUUGCCUAUGCUGGUCCAUCACCCUAGAGUCUCCUUUCCUGACAGCUGGACUUACUGAAUGUCUACUCAUCCAUCAAGACCAAUUUAUCCAUCAAGGCGAACUCAUCCAGAAAGCUUAGUCAGAUUGCUACUUCCAUUCAAAAUUAACAGCUUCCUCUCUGCUUAUGUAGCACUUUAAUUUAUAUAUUUUUAAUAUAUUUCAAAAUAAUAUAAUGAACCAUCAUGUACUUUCCCAGUAGCUUAAGAAAUAAAACAUUUGCAAAAUACUCGAACCCUCCUGUGUACCUCCUUUGGGAUUGUGUCCUCCUCCUUCUCUACUCUUCUGCCUCCCUCUUCCUUCCUC